This 439-nucleotide ribosomal RNA is filed under the name uncultured bacterium. RNAcentral describes it as "bacterial SSU rRNA". It matches the Rfam family "Bacterial small subunit ribosomal RNA", at positions 29 to 507 of the family's 1533-position model. The record is from RNAcentral.
AACGAACGCUGGCGGCAGGCUUAACACAUGCAAGUCGAACGCUCGUAGCAAUAUGGGAGUGGCGGACGGGUGAGUAACGCGUGGGAACGUGCCCUGAGGUACGGAAUAACUGCGGGAAACUGCAGCUAAUACCGUAUGAGCCCCGUGAGGGGAAAGGAUUUAUCGCCUUAGGAGCGGCCCGCGUCGGAUUAGCUAGUUGGUGGGGUAACGGGCUUACCAAGGCUUCGAUCCGUAGCUGGUCUGAGAGGACGAUCAGCCACACUGGGACUGAGACACGGCCCAGACUCCUACGGGAGGCAGCAGUGGGGAAUCUUGCGCAAUGGGGGCGAACCCUGACGCAGCCAUGCCGCGUGAAUGAUGAAGGCCUUAGGGUUGUAAAGUUCUUUUGCCCGUGACGAUGAUGACGGUAACGGGAGAAUAAGCUCCGGCUAACUUCGUG